GACGAACGCUGGCGGCGUGCUUAACACAUGCAAGUCGAACGGAAAGGCCCUGCUUUUGUGGGGUGCUCGAGUGGCGAACGGGUGAGUAACACGUGAGUAAACUGCCCUUGACUUUGGGAUAACUUCAGGAAACUGGGGCUAAUACCGGAUAGGAGCUCCUGCUGCAUGGUGGGGGUUGGAAAGUUUCGGCGGUGGGGGAUGGACUCGCGGCUUAUCAGCUUGUUGGUGGGGUAGUGGCUUACCAAGGCUUUGACGGGUAGCCGGCCUGAGAGGGUGAACGGCGACAUUGGGACUGAGAUACGGCCCAGACUCCUACGGGAGGCAGCAGUGGGGAAUAUUGCACAAUGGGCGGAAGCCUGAUGCAGCAACGCCGCGUGCGGGAUGACGUGCUUCGGGUGGUAAACCGCUGUCGCCUGUGACGAAGCGUGAGUGACGGUAAUGGGUAAAGAAGCACCGGCUAACUACGUG
RNAcentral lists this ribosomal RNA (468 nucleotides) under uncultured bacterium. RNAcentral's name for it is "partial 16S ribosomal RNA". It matches the Rfam family "Bacterial small subunit ribosomal RNA", at positions 28 to 507 of the family's 1533-position model. The record is from RNAcentral.